CCAGAUGUUCCCCGUGUCAUCAGAACACACAGCAGAAAUGACCUUACAACAGAGGCAGAACCUUGUGACAGUUGAACACCGAAAUGGGGUGCUCCCAGGCGGUUGUGGAAUUCUCCCCCAGAAAGACCUUUGUCUUCCAUGAGAAUUUGUGUAUAGUUUUGCAGAAAACAUAAAGGGCUUAAGAAACAAUAUAGGGGCUCUUUUCUCUGUGCCCACUGUAUCAUAGCAGAGCAUUGCAGGGAGGUUAGCAAGGGGCUUUGUGGAAGCCUCAGAUCCAAAUCCAGGAUGCCUACAGAUGUAUCUGAACGACCUACACAGCUUAUCUUCCUUUCACUCUUUCCAGUUCCCUUGCAUGUUUACAAAUAUACUGAUUCCGUGACAGGUGAGACAAGCCUUCAGUGAAUCACUUCUGUUGUGACUUUACUGUCUUCAUGUUGGAGACUGGAAGGAUGAUUAUCUAAAGUUUUGAUAUCUUAGUUCUCAGAAAUGGCCCAAAUGUUGUUUUGACACCAUGUAAGAUAUCAAACAAAUUGACAGAAGGUGGGCAGCUACUUUGAAGUUGAAAGCUUUCUUUUUGUUUACUGAAAUGACAAGUCAGAUCUAAAUGUGUCUUUUUAAUUCUUUCAUUUGCUCUAAUAGUUCUACAUGCCAGUCUUAUAAAAAUAUCCAUCCACUGUAAGACAGAAGAACAAACAACCAAACAAAAACUCUAUAGCACCUGGGAAUGCCAUCUCACAGAAAUUUAAACAAACCAACCAUGGGUUGCCCACUGCAAUUCACUGCAGCCUGUCGUUAGUUAGAAUAAGUGGCUUUUAAUUUGUAUCCUUUAUGCUUCAAAUCAAAGCUAACUUAAUUAGUGAAAUGGCCAUGAGAGAAGGGGUUGGCGUCUAAUUACCACUGAUUAUCCCACUGUUCACUGACUAAUGACCUCAGUAAGUAUGAUAGCCGUGAGUUCUGAUCAAACUCAUCUGUGAUUCUUUUAAUCAACUAAAUUGCAUCAAAUUCAAUAAUCUAUUCUAAUUUAAGGAAGUUUUCUUUUUUUAUCCUCUAUGACAAAGAACUGUUAUUCAGGGGAAAGCAAAACCUGCAGAUGCAAAAGUUCACCGUGUCAGCUGUGUUCCCCAAAUUGUAUUCAACCUUUCUUCCCUGAUUGGUGUGAUGACUAAACUUUCUCAGUGGGAUGACACAUCCCCUUGUGGUCAUUUUUUUUUUUGUGUGUGUGUGGUUGCAGCAACUCAGAACCAUUGCACUUACCUAUCAGUCAAUUUUUUAAAAAUGUAUAAAUCAGCAAACUUCUUGAAAGAGAACAGCUGGAAGCUGCCUUAUCCAGUCUUCUUGUUAAGCCCUGUCAGACAAGGUUGACUUUAAGGCUGUCUCAGAGGGUAGCUGCUUCUUCUACUGGUCCAACAAGGUUGAGUUUAAGGCUUCCUUAGAAGUAAUUGAAGAGAUGACAAGAUUGCCUAACUGUUUAUGACUAGACUGAGGAGCUUCCACAAAAGAAAAAGGAUAAGAACAGAAACAUACAUUUAAAGCUCAAAGCUCAAGUGGAAAAUGUGAAAGCUCUUGAGAUACUCUUUUUGUCUGGUAACUACAAAGCAGAGAUGGUUGCAUAAAGGGCCACUAUGCUAUUGCACAAGUGGCAUAAUUGAUACAUUUUAGAAAAGAGCAUGAUGAAGGCCAUAUAAUAAUGUGAAGGCUUUGCUUGAGAACUGAACAGUGAGAAUGGAGGUGUGGAUAAUCGGGUUUGAAGGAGUGAACUUGAAUUCCCAAAUCAUCCCGAGAUCAUCAUGUAUGAAGAAGCAUACUCUCUUCCGGUUGAGAAACAUAAUCUUUCUAUGCCAAAAGAACUUUAUAUGACCUAAUUUAGGCUUUUAAUUUAUAAAAAGAUGCAAGUUCUGAAGAUCCAUCGUACUCUGUAUCAUUGCCUCAGUACUUACAAUUAGAAGCUGCAUCCCAGCAUCCCUCAGGAGAGAACUGUCAAACCUAUUUCCAGAAGAUACAAAGUCAAUGUCAUGGGAUCCGAAAGAUCUGUUAAAAGUACAGGAUUGGACACCUGGGGAGCUGUGUGAAGAUGUUGUCUAAAGAGUGUUAUAUUUAUUAGUGCAACUGUGAUAUGGAGUUAAUUAGAUGAACUUUUUCAAAUAGAUGUGCUUCCCCAGCAUUUUGAAUUUACUGUGAAGGUCAAAGCAACUUUCAGUACCUCUAAAGUUUCCUAUUGGUCACUGAAGCCCAGAUCUAAUGAAAACAACAUUUUUAUCAUUUCAAAAUGCUAGAGCUUCCUUACCCUAAUGUUAAAGAAGGAACCCAAAGGUUUAGAGAAGUGAGUGUCUUGGAGUAAAUUGACUACAGAUAAUAUACACUGUCCUUCCAUGCCCAUGAGGCACUGAAGGAAGGAAAAGCAAAUUUGGAAACAGUAAAGGCCAUGUGCCGUGUUUAACCUUAAAGGGAAAGGUGGUUGCAAUGAUUGUAAUCAGCCACAGAGAUUAAGUGACAUUCAGCAUUCAGAUUGAUAGAAAUCUGUGUCCGGGGCUGUUUACUAACAAUGUUCCCUGGGAUAUGGUAGAAAGUGGAUGAGUGGCCAACAGGUAAAGCUUAAUCUCUAUAGUGGGGAAAGUAUAUGUCAGGAAAGCGGGAAUCUAACUUGAAUCGUCAAGGACAGGAUUUAUGACUAAUAACCUCCCAUCUAGUUUCCAGUCAGCCUCUGGGAAGAAGGUGAGAUGAGAUGAUGAUGGAUUAGGACUGUGAGUUACCAAAUCCUCACCUGAUUGUAGUUGCUCUUCCAAGAGUCACACCUUGACUUGUACAAAUUAAUGAAGCCUCAGUAUUUAAUGACAGCAACUUUUCACCAGGGCUAAAUCAAACAUUUAAGUGAAUUUUGGGUCCUACUAUCUGAAGCCUUGCAUACAGGAAAAAAAAAAAAACGCAAAGAAGUCUGGGGCACAUCAAGUGUCUUAUAUAUGAAAAGCAGCCUUGUCACUGUGAAGAUAGCUAAUGCUGAAAGCAGAGAAUUAUUUUUUCUUUGUUUUGUUUUGUUUUGUUUUGUUUUGUUUUGUAUUGAAACAGGGUUUCUCUGUGAAACAGUCCUGGCUGUCCUGGAAUUCACUCUGUAGACAAGGCUGGCCUGGAAUUCACAGAGGUCUGCCUGCCUCUGCCUCACAAGGGUUGGAAUUAAAGGCAUGUGCCACCGCCACCUGGCUCCAGAUUUCUUUUUUCAACUCAUCACUGUGUUUCUGCCUAAAAGACCCAUCACAAGAAAUAGAUUAUCAUAGAAAAGGAGCAACAUUUACUUAAUAGACACAAAAAAAAAAACUUACCCUUUGCUCUGGAGGAGGGGACUAUCUCUGGCCCGGACUAUUCCUAUCUACCAAGGCCAUUUGCUUUGCAAACAUCCUUGAGAAGAUUAUUUAGAACAAAAGGAGUUUCCAGUUGCCCUUCUUAUGGGCUGUGAGAGACCCACAGAAAAUUGGCUGUUCUGAAGAAAACUCCAUCAGGAAUAUCUGCCUUCAAAAAAGCAGUGUGAACUUCGUGCAGAAAUUCAUCAAAAUGAUAAAAUCACUCAGGAGAAGGGAAAAAUCCUGCCUUAAAGAGCCUUACUGCAUAAACAAAGUCUCCAGGCAAUCAGAAGCAUCGAAACAGAAGGCAGAGCUGUAGGUAAAAGGCAUCUUCAAGCUCUGCAUCCUCACGUGUUCCUCCUCUCACAAGCCGAGAAGAGCCAAAGGCCAUCCAGCAGCAUUCCUCUGUUAUGCCUUUCCGUGUCUGCCAGUUCGUUUUCAUUCACUGGAAAGGCCAAUUUUCCACAUGCUAUUCAAAGUGGUGUGUGCCUUUGAAAAGAAGUGAGAAAAAGAACUAAAGACGCUGAGAGCUUAACUCAUUCCUCCCUUCCCUCCCCUCCUCCUCAAUAACAAGUUCUCGUUCUUCCAGGCUCAGUGAGCAACAAAAGCAGCCUCAUUUAGCCGUCCAAAUUUGAAGUACUGCCAGGUCAAAUAGUGCAGUGCCUCUUGUCCUCAACGGAGUAGUGUUUUACAGGGAGGGUGAGGCCUGCUCCAAAUGAUAUGACAGGCUUUGAAGAUUCCCCAUGCAAUACAAGUUUCAUUAAAACCCCGGCAUGAUACAGUAGCCUUCAUCCAGUAGCUGAUGGAAGAAGAAGCAGACACCCACAGCUAAAUACUGAGCUGAACUCUGGAAUCCAUUUGCAGAGAGGGACGAGUGAUGAGCAAAGGGGUCAAGACCAGGCUGGAGAAACCCACAGGGACAGCUGACCGGAACAAGAGGUUGCUCAUGGACACCAGACUGAUAGCUGGGAAACCAGCAAAGGACUGUUCCAGACCCCCUGAAGGAGGAGGUCGGUUUGGAGGUCUGGACAAUCUAUGGGGACAAUCUAUGGGCGGAUCAGUAUUUACCCCCUAGUACACAAAUGAACUUUGGGAGCCCAUUCCAUAUAGAGGGAUGCUCUCUCAGCCUAGACACACUGGGGAGGGUCUAGGCCCUAUCCCAAAUGAUAGGACAGACUUUGAAGAUUCCCCCAUGGAAGGCCUCACCCUCCCUGGGGAGCAGAAAGGAGGUAGGAUAGAGGGUGGGGGGGCAGGGGAGGAGGGGAGGGAGAGGGAACUAGGACUGAUAUGUAAAAGAAGUUUGUUUCUAAUUUAAAUUUAAA
RNAcentral lists this long non-coding RNA (4654 nucleotides) under Cricetulus griseus (Chinese hamster). RNAcentral describes it as "lncRNA (ENSCGRG00015037767.1)". Lineage: Eukaryota; Metazoa; Chordata; Mammalia; Rodentia; Cricetidae. The record is from RNAcentral.